RNAcentral lists this ribosomal RNA (397 nucleotides) under uncultured bacterium. RNAcentral describes it as "bacterial SSU rRNA". It matches the Rfam family "Bacterial small subunit ribosomal RNA", at positions 30 to 426 of the family's 1533-position model. The record is from RNAcentral.
AUUGAACGCUGGCGGCAUGCCUUACACAUGCAAGUCGAACGGCAGCACGGGAGCAAUCCUGGUGGCGAGUGGCGAACGGGUGAGUAAUAUAUCGGAACGUGCCCAGUCGUGGGGGAUAACGUAGCGAAAGCUACGCUAAUACCGCAUACGAUCUAUGGAUGAAAGCGGGGGAUCGCAAGACCUCGCGCGAUUGGAGCGGCCGAUAUCAGAUUAGGUAGUUGGUGGGGUAAAAAGCCCACCAAGCCGACGAUCUGUAGCUGGUCUGAGAGGACGACCAGCCACACUGGAACUGAGACACGGUCCAGACUCCUACGGGAGGCAGCAGUGGGGAAUUUUGGACAAUGGGCGCAAGCCUGAUCCAGCCAUUCCGCGUGCAGGAUGAAGGCCUUCGGGUGUU